Molecule: ribosomal RNA, 377 nt
Filed under: uncultured eukaryote
Lineage: Eukaryota
Description: partial 18S ribosomal RNA
Rfam family: Eukaryotic small subunit ribosomal RNA
Source: RNAcentral
CAAUAGCGUAUAUUUAAGUUGCUGCAGUUAAAAAGCUCGUAGUUGGAUUUCGGGUGGGAAUGGCCGGUCCGCCGUUUCGGUGUGCACUUGCUACGCCCACCUUGCUGCCGGGGACGUGCUCUUGAGUUCACGCUCGGGACACGGAGUCGGCGAGGUUACUUUGAGUAAAUUAGAGUGUUCAAAGCAGGCCUAAGCUCUGAAUACAUUAGCAUGGAAUAACACGAUAGGACUCUGGCCUAUCUUGUUGGUCUGUAGGACCGGAGUAAUGAUUAAGAGGGACAGUCGGGGGCAUUCGUAUUUCAUUGUCAGAGGUGAAAUUCUUGGAUUUAUGAAAGACGAACUACUGCGAAAGCAUUUGCCAAGGAUGUUUUCAUUAA